ACGCAUUCAUAAAAUUUAUUGGGAAAGAUGGAAGGAAAGAAAUAAUGGAAGAAAGAAAAAGAGAAAGGAAAACCAUGAACAAUCCAGCAAUUCCUUUCCCUUCUUUCUUUAGUUUUGUCUUUUUUUCUUGAACAUCAUAAUCUUUUCACUAGCACUGCAACCAAAGAAUAACUGAGUGGGAAGUUGCCAGAUAGGAAUCUAGAGAUAAGAAUUCA
Molecule: non-coding RNA, 215 nt
Filed under: Chattonella subsalsa
Lineage: Eukaryota; Raphidophyceae; Chattonellales; Chattonellaceae
Source: RNAcentral